RNAcentral lists this long non-coding RNA (3963 nucleotides) under Carassius auratus (goldfish). Its description in RNAcentral is "lncRNA (ENSCARG00000014008.1)". Lineage: Eukaryota; Metazoa; Chordata; Actinopteri; Cypriniformes; Cyprinidae. The record is from RNAcentral.
GAGAAAACACCUGUAACUUCCUGCAUGAGUUCCUGUGGCUCUGGUCUGUGUGUGAUGUUGUGUAGGUGCCCUCCACUGGUUGAGCUGCCUUACUGAUUCCACGCUGCCUGCUGGGCCAGAGAGAUGAUGGGACAUACCAUGAAUUUGUAUGCUAUUCAUCCAAUUUUUUGGUAUAAUCAGUCAACAGCAAACGCGCAGAAGAUAUUCCUCAUCAUUUCUGCACUUUGAUAAGUGAAGACACUGCAGAUCUGAUCUGAAUAUAAAUUAUGAAUCAAAAAUGUGUCAGUACUCACUCGUGGUUUGAUUGGUGGGAGCAGGUUGAAUGGCAGGGGCUGGGGUUAGAAGUCCUGCCCCUUACCAAGAUGGGGGGCUGCAAGGGUAUAAAAAGUAUUUUGCUGGCCAGUCUAGCAUAAGGAAGUCAAACGCACGUUUGCUGGUUGCUUUACGUCUGCUGCACAGUUUCCCACAUAGACCUGUGCUAAAGAUGCUGUCACGAAAUCUUGUAAUUGCUUCAGUGGCUGUAGUGUUUCUGGCGUCCACCGUAUCAACGGCUCCUGUUGAAGAUAAGGAGCCUGAGGAAAAUGACUUUGAGGCUGAAGAGGGUGAAGAAGAACUGUCUGAGGAGGAAGAGGGUAGGGGAUGAAGUUCUUUUAGAUGUUACUUCAUCAACAUCCUGAUGAGAGCCGACCGUACCACACCAAGGAGCUCAUAUUGUAGACACUUUGACACUAGAUGUGAUCCUGCAAAAGGACAAGAUGAGAAGUUAAUUCUAUAAUGUUCGUGAUAAACAGUUCUAAAGUAAACCUGAAUUUAUUUUUAAUCCGUUCAGAUUCAUAAACCCAUCAAAGUGGGUAAAUGCAGUCUCAAAGAGAAAAUAAAAGAGCAUUUAACUUAAAACAGAUCAGUGAAUUCUAAACUCUGUGGACUCGGACAGAAAGAGGAGAAGGGCUAAACAAAGGAGCGGUUGUUAUAAACUGUAUCGAUUUUCCCUUUUCUUUACAGAUGAUGAUGACUCCAAAGGUCAGCAUAUGAAGGGUGGGUGACAAGUUCACAACUAACCACCAUUGUGCAAAACCUCAGUCAUCUUUAAUAAUCACAUAAUAAGUCAUAAUUUACUUCAAAAGUCAGUUUUUCUUAAUGAGGCUGAGCUAUUCAAAACAUUUGGGGUUCUGCCAUAAUCAGAAAUUGCACUUACAAAAAAAGUACUGUAGUACUUUUUGUUGGUAUUCAAUGAUUUUUGGACAUGGGAUCAAUGAUAAUACUUUGUUUUUCUAAGCUUGAUUAUUAAGAUUUUAAAGUAUAGUAACCAUACAGAAAACCUAGUACAGUGGUGGUAAUCUUAUCAAACUUCGGUAUACCAUGAUAUAGUAUUUGCAACAUUCCUACAUGGAUUUAAGUACCAUAAUAUAUUUUAAAAUACCAUAGCAUUGCCAUCUGAUACAACCAUAGUACCAGUGUUAAAGACUAAAUACUCAUGAUACAUUUAGUUCUAAUGGGGUAGCGACAUUGCAAAAACUAAACUCAAAUCAGAUCUAAAAUGCACAUAAAAGCCAAUAAAAACAACUUAAAAUGUAUAUAGCUGGUUUAUACAAGAUGCAAAACCCCUUAAGCACGUGUAAAAAGAGUGUCUGUCUUUUAUGAAGCCUCCUGGCCAGAAUAGUUUGAUUGGCCUGUGAGAAAUGAUCUCUGGGAAUCUGUGUAAGAAUAUGUUUCUUGUUCCUCUCCCUCUUUUCCUAAAGGAGCCGGAUCGCAUCAGGCCACUGCAGCACCCAAAGGCUUGGGUAAGGUGAAGCUAAUCCUCUUUAGAGCUGGAGGCAGAGAACACUGAACCUCUCAGCACUGGAAAAUAGUUCACUGGGUGCACCCUACUCAGUAAGCAGAGUCAAUCAGUACUUAAUCUGGUUUAGGGAUCAGGUAUGUGGCUGAACGACAUUGCUCGAUUUAUUAAUAAAUGUGGAAAGACGAAACAUCAGGUGCACAGAUCCGUGGAAAACAGAGGCCUGUAGCGCAGUGAGAUUGCAUGAUUGUUGGGCCGAUGUUUCAGGACCUUAUGCACUUUAGACUGAAGGGCUGUUUUUCUCCAAGGUAUGACUCCUGGCAGCGCCAUCGCGGGCCAAUCCCCAAACGGUAAGGAAAGUCUACUCGAUAACGCAAAAACAAGUUCUUUUCGGAGUGCAUUAGCCUCUCAUGACCUCUGGUGAAAGGUGAAUUUGUUGAGAGCUCAAUGGCCUUUCUGAAGUCCAAUACAUCUUUUGACAAAACCUUUGCUCUCGUUUCCCAGGUCAGAAACUUAAUGGCGGCACUCAAACUGGCCAAGUCUGUAAGUGUGAACCUGAUCUAUCAGGGGAAAAACUUUCACAGAAGCCACACUUUAGAAAAGCAACACAGACUGACCUUAUGUAGGAAAUGCACUACAGAGUUAUAUACGCACGGUCAUAGCCAAACAUCAUGAGGUCAAAUCUAGAUAUAUUUUCUCUUUCUUGGCCAAUCAGAAACUUAACUGGUGUUUUUGUCAUUACAGCAUCAGGCAGCACAUCAACAGCUUCAAAUGGAGCAAACGGUAACCAGCAUUUCAGUCAGAAUAUGAUAUAACCUACUAUUGUAAAAAAAAAAUAUAUAUAUAUAUAUAUAUAUAUAUAUAUUACCUAAUAUUACCUAAUUUGAUGAUACGGAGUUAAAAAUAAAAAUAUUUUUUCACAAAUGUAUGUAUUUAUCUGCCUUAAUGCACUUAUGAAACAACAAAAGCAGCCAAAUGUCAAAGGUUUUCACAAAAACACAAGUAUUCAAAAUUUAUAAUUUAACUCAUAAUAUGCAAAGAAUUAGAAAAACAUAUGUUCAAAAUAAAUUUAUAAAUAUACAUUUUCCACAAAAUCUGUCAUUUUCUGUUGCUGUUUGCAUGUAGGAAAAUGUUUGAAGCUCUAGAUCAUGUUUUCAUUUUCUUCUGUUGCUGACCUUGAAAUUAGGCAUAAAUAAUGUUCGUACAUGUGAAAAGUGGCUGAGAAUUUAACAAAUAGUUGUACUGGGCUCAGAGAAAGAUAGUAAUCUUGUCUUUAUGGCAGUUUUUUACAAUGAUUAAGGGAUAUAACAAGACUUCCUAACCUUACAAAUUGUUGUAGAAUGCAAAAAUGCUACAAAAUGCACAUUGUAUUUAGUGUGAAAAUGACGUGCUAGUGCCUAAUAGGCACUAUUUUUCGAAUCUGCAUCCAUAAUAAUAAAAAAUAAAAUAAAAAAAACAGGGUGGUUCAUGGUGGUGAAUCAUUAGUUUUGCUGUUAAUGAAACCACUAACUGCGUGUCAUGUCAUUGGAUUAUUGGAGCAGUAUCAGUAUUGACAUCUAUCUUUCAUUACUGGACAAGGGAUGUUCUCUCAGAAAUGUUUCUUUGUGGGUUACAGGAAGUAAUGGAAGAGACGGGUUAUCUCGCCCAUCUGGCUCUAGUUCUCAUGGUACUGGACCUGUUCACCUGCUGUAUAUGGUUUUCUUUUUGCCCUAACAAGUUGACUGCCUAAUCACUGUAUUCAUUUUACUUACAGAUGCAAGUUAUGGUGGACAAGAUGGGUCCAAAUCAGACAUAGUUCCUCCAGGUACCUGAUCACUGAUUCUGACAUAAAUAAAAUAAAAUAAAAGUUGCACAUUUAUAUGUCACUUUUAUAUUUACCUUAAAAUACUAAAAUGUUUAAUACAACCAUUAAUUUUUAUAUAAAUAAUAUAAUAUACAGGUGCUGGUCAUAUAAUUAGAAUAUCAUCAAAAAGUAGAUUUAUUUCACUAAUUCCAUUCAAAAAGUGAAACUUGUAUAUUAUAUUCAUUCAUUACACACAGACUGAUAUAUUUAAAAAAAAAUUCAUAAUUAAAACUGACAACUAAGUAAAAUAAAAAAUUCAGUAACUCAGAAAAUUUGAAUAUUGUGAAAAGGUUCAAUAUUGAAGACACCUGGUGACAAACUCUAAUCAGCUAAUUAACUCAAA